CAACCCUCAAGCUCAGCUUGGUGUUGGGCCCCGCCGCCCCGGCGGGCCCUAAAGUCAGUGGCGGUGCCGUCCGGCUCCGAGCGUAGUAAUUCUUCUCGCUCUGGAGGUCCGGUCGUGUGCUUGCCAUCAACCCCUAAUUUUCUAU
RNAcentral lists this unclassified non-coding RNA (145 nucleotides) under uncultured Pseudogymnoascus. RNAcentral describes it as "sequence contains ITS2". The record is from RNAcentral. Lineage: Eukaryota; Fungi; Ascomycota; Leotiomycetes; Myxotrichaceae.